UGGUGGGGUGACUUGUCUGGUUAAUUCCGAUAACGAACGAGAUCUUGGCCUACUAAAUAGACAUAUUUCCGCUGGUGAUUGGUUUCGGCCGGUUGCCGGGAGGUUAUGGUGAUUAUUCACACCCGAUCGGUUCGCCGGUUGGGUUGCUUCUUAGAGGGACUAUGGGUGAUUAACCCAGGGAAGCUCAAGGCAAUAACA
This 198-nucleotide ribosomal RNA is filed under the name uncultured eukaryote. Its description in RNAcentral is "partial 18S ribosomal RNA". It matches the Rfam family "Eukaryotic small subunit ribosomal RNA", at positions 1299 to 1458 of the family's 1831-position model. The record is from RNAcentral.